This is a long non-coding RNA of Trachemys scripta elegans, 901 nucleotides long. RefSeq lists it as uncharacterized. NCBI's taxonomy places the organism in Eukaryota, Metazoa, Chordata, Testudines, Emydidae. The transcript has 4 exons. The record is from RefSeq and is a predicted model, not a curated record.
GGACUCGCCAAAGUCUGGAAGGGGAGCGCGGACCUGCCUCUGCCGCUCCUCGGCUGGCCCCGGCGCGCGGGACAGGCUGGGCAGAGAUAAAAGGGCACAAAAUUAUUUCUGUUUAAUAUGUGGGAGAUGCUCAGAUAAUAUGGUGAAGGGGGCGACAGAAGUACUUGGAUGAAUGGCUGGAUAGACAGGCAGUUGUGUUCCAGUGUGUGAACUGGGGUGAACAGAUUCUGAGCUGAUGAAAAUUGGCACUGAAGUGAAUGCAGCUAUGAAAAUUUACCCCAGCUAGGGAUUGCUGGAAGGAAUGGCUGGGGCUAUCCACGCUCUACCACUGAUUCACUGAAUGAUCUGAGGAAGCCUGACAGUACUAAGACUAUAGGUCUUCCAGAUGUCAUUCAAAUCUCCUAGCACACUCCAUCAUCCAAAAGGAAAGCCACAAAGAUCCCUCUGGAAUUGUGCAUCAUUCUGCAAACCAAGCCAAAGGUUGAGACACUAAUUGUUCCUCUUGCUGUAAGCAUCACUUCUGCAGCACACCCAGCUGCUGCCGGCCCAUAGAGUAAGAAAAAGCCAACUCAGUGUUUGAGCUCUGAUCCUCUGCAUAGUAACAACUCACCACUGGGAAAAUUUAUUAUUAAAGGAAGGUUUUAUAUUGAUAUGAUAAAUAUUUAUGCAGCACUUGAAUAUGCAGAGACUUCUGUUUACCUGUACCUACAAUUUUAAGAUUUUAAUGUUUUUAAUUGUUUGAGAUCUGUAGUGAUUAAAUGCUGCUUGCAGGAUUUGGGAAAUGACCAUUCUUGAUUUCCAAAUAUUCUAUUAGUCCAAAUAUUCCAAAUCUUCUGUAGCAUGGGCCACAUCUUGAGAGGUUGGCUUGUGAACACCUACCUGCACAUCCAUGAUUGCAUAA